This is a non-coding RNA of Nelumbo nucifera (sacred lotus), 2356 nucleotides long. Lineage: Eukaryota; Viridiplantae; Streptophyta; Magnoliopsida; Proteales; Nelumbonaceae. The record is from RefSeq and is a predicted model, not a curated record.
GUUAUUUGGUUGUUAGUUUUGCAUGGUGUUUGAAUUUUUCAAUGUUUAUUUUGUUGUUUGCCGAUUUAGCUCUAUCUUUUUAGCUAAUAAGUCUGAAAUAUCUCUAUCAAGUUGAUUAGAGUACAAUAACAUUCUAAUCUAACUUCAAAUUAGAUAGAAGUCUGAUUAAACAUGAAUAGUGACAAUAGAAAGCAAGAGUUUGAAAUCAACAAAUCAGAAACAAUAGCAAGAGUUUUAUAAACAAAAUCUCAUGUACUAGAGUCCAGUAAUGAGCUUUCUUUAGAGAAAAUAUCAAAGAAAAAAAAAAAACAAAGAAAAAGAAAUUAAGACCUUUUAGACUAUGCUCAUGCUGUGCAUUGCCAAUGGCAAGCAAGCACAGAUCGGAGGGGAUCAUGUCAAAUUGGGUGUUGGUUGAAAAAAUUCUGCCAAAUCAUAUAAGUGCUGAUUUGGAGUUUGAAAUCCAAGCAAAGUCAGUAGUCUUAUGUUGCCAACCCUAAAGAGUUGUUAGAAGGUACUAGUCAGAAUGACAAGAAAGAUGACCAGCAAUCAUCUAAGAGAAAUAUAAAAAAGAACAAGAAAAAAGAAAAGAAAAAAAUCCAUUACCACCCACUUGCACCUCCACUCUUUAGAUCAGCACACACCCACAACCAAUUAUAGCAACCAUUUGAAAGCAAAACCCAAACUUCACUCCAAAUCCCAGCGUUAUAACAUUCUUUCAAAAUUUGUUAGUAGUUAUUACAUCCAUCAACAAGGUUGAAAUUGAUACAACCAAUAAAAUAGUUGAUUCUUACCAGAAACCAACAGCUCGAGAAUUGGGUCAAAUUACAGAUAGUGAGUAUCUGAGUGAUAUGUUUCUUUGCAUGCAUUAAAGCCCAAAUAAGCCUUUAGUUCAGAUCACAAAAGUUAAUUGGGCCUUCAACCAACAAAGGUGAUCUAUUUCUUUUGUGCCUCUCCAAUAUUUUCUAAGGAUGGUAGGAUCCUUAUAACUAGUGUUUAUAGAUUCAGGUGUUGAACGUUGAAUAUGCGAAGAGCAUUUGUGCCAUCAAAGAUCUAGACAUACCCAUGAUUUCCCAUUAUUGUGGUCAUGCUGCUUUGAUGUGAUGGAUCACCUUAUUUUCUAUAAAUUUUCAUUUGAGGGCCUGUGUUUUCAAUCUACAGUGUGGUGGGUUGACUACUUGGAUGAAAGAUUUUCCAUGUUUUCAGACAUUUCUGCCAAGGCUUAUAUUACUUUCUUGGCAUUGGGAUUUCUCUCAACUUUAUCUGAAGUGGCAAAAAUAGAGGGGCAAGACAAAAGGUUUCUUCAUAUUAUUGGUGCAACUGAAUUAAUAAAAAAUGCUACUACAAUUAAAGAUGAGAUGUUGUAGCUAGAGGAAGCCAGAAGGUUUCACAUUUCCUUGUAUUCACAGGUAAGAACUUGUACCUUGUUUGCCAAUUGAAACCUAGCCUCUUUUUUAUUCAUUAGAAAGUAAGUGCAUUUACCAUUACAGGGUAAUCAAGUAUCACCUAGAGUGCAUUUACCAUUUACCAGUGUUUUCAUGUAGUUCACAUUAUUGGCAUUCAGUGAAAGUUAAUAUCUUUUGACUUUAAAUGGACAUGCUGCUAAUAUGUAGGUCUAUAUCAUUUAUUGGACUCUGAUGUCUCUCAUUUUAUUAUUCUCUUGUUCAAAAUAGUUCUUCUGACUGAUUACAUAUCACUCGGAUCCUAUAACUUUCCUACUAGUUCUGUCCUAUAUUGUAGCUUCCAGCGGAAAGGAUUUUUCAGUUCUAGUCUCCAAGACCAAGGGCACAACAAUAACAGAAACAAUGGACUACACUGACCUUCCGCACUCUCAGAUGAGAAAAGUCACAGAUUCAUGCUUGCUACUUUCAAAACAAACUAUUCCUCAUUACUAAUUGACAGUGGACACAUGUGUUGACAAACUUAUGGAGUUCAUCCAAGUGUGUGCAAGGGAGCUUAUGUGUCCAGCUUAUCAUGAACUAUGUAACAACCAUAUCAGCACCAUAUCUUGAAUUAUAUAAGGACCAUUAAAAUGGAAGCAAUUAAUCCCUGCAAUUGGCUCCUAUACCAAUAUGUCUCAUAUCCAAGCAACAGUUAUUUGUUCUAGAAAAGCAGGCCUGCAACUUAGUGUCCGAAGUGGUGGCCACGACUACGAGGGACUUUCAUAUGCAUCUAAUGUUCCAUUCAUCAUUGUUGACCUGCUAAAUUUUUUAUCUAUUAACGUUGAUAUAGAAGAUAACAGUGCAUGGAUUCAAGUUGGAUCAAUUCUUGGGGAUGUUUAUUAUAGAGUUGCAGAGAUUUUUGUUUGUUUAUGUAUUUUUCUUUUCAUUUUUUAUGGUGGAGAAUGAUUUUUUUAUUG